GCCUUGGAAGGUGGGGAUCUGCUUUUUUAUUCCAUCCAACAGGUCCUCAAUACAAACUGCACAGAACACCAAUCUCACAUGAAGCAUCAUACCUCAGUAUCACGAGAUGUCCCUGCUCUCCUCCCCAAAAGCAUCACCUUCCCCCAGAGUUCACCUGGGCAGAGACAGACUUGCUCCUGUACAACCUUCUGCUUUGUGGUCCACAUUUAAGAGCUUGGUUAGUUAGGGUUUUCACUGAUACCUGCUCCCCUAGAGCUUACUUCCUGACAAUAGCCAGGACUACAGUGAUCAAACGCCACCCCCCCAGCUUAACAGCUUAUAUCAUUUUACUACUAGUGGCUUUCUCCCACCAUUUUUCAGUUCCUGACUCGUACAUUAUUUAUAACAGAGGUAUCAAAAUAAUUUGGCUCCAUGGGUCAAAUCCCUAUCCAAUUCUGGCAGUGCAGCAAGCAGUAGCAGUAUUAGCCACUGUGGGUUCAUUGGGAAUGACGCAUCACACGAUAAACAGAUGCAUAUCAUAGGGAGGUGGGAAUUACCCACAUAAUAAUAUACACAUGUUCCCUGAGAACUGAAUAGAAGAACGUAUUCAGAUUAUUAGGAGAAACUUCCUCACCAGGAGAGUGGUAAAGCACUGGAACAGGCUACCCAGAGAGGUUGUGGAAUCUCCAUCUUUGGAAGUUUUUAAGAUCCGGCUUGACAAAGCUUUGGCCGGGAUAAUAUAGUUGGGUUUGGUCCUACUUUAAGCAGGGGGUUAGACUAGAUGACCUCCUGAGGCCCCUUCCACCCCUAAUUUUCUAUGAUUAUGUGAUUGUAGAUGAAUGGAUAAGGUGAAGGUACUUAACACAUACCUGGAAUGAAAAAUGGUUGUCUAAGGAUUUGUGGGCUUUGGAUAACUAAGGCCCCUGCUGAUGGAGGCUGGAUAGUGCAAGCUAACAAGUUAAAUGCAGAAAACUGAUGGAGUCCAAGGCAGAAGCUGCAUUUUAGGGUAAGGUGCACGGUAAGAUCAUAUCUAAUUCUUACAAGUUUUUGUUCUUAUGUUUCUGUCUGUCUCAAUAUUCCUGCUUUUAAGAUUUCUCUUGUUUAUGUAAUACAUCCUUUUGUUAUAUCUUAGACCUUACUGAUCAUCUGUGCGAAGGGGCAUUUCAGAGCAACUGGCAAAUACAGACUGGUUAUUCCUAUGGUGGUUGUCACCCUUUCUCGAGAAGCAUCCCAUUUUUGACAAGAGAUUCUGAAUCCUGCACACCUACCCAGCAGCAUGUUAAAGAAUCCCUGAGACUCUUCAGGACACAGCAAACACCAUGACGCAGCAGUAAUAAAGUGACAUCAGGACAACCACCUUAUAACAAGCUGAUGGACUUUCAGGAGGGCUCUUCCAAGCCUGUGUUCCUUAAGUUAACUGCUUAACAUAAACCUUCAAAAUUACAAACCUUAUAUUAAACCUAUGCACAACUGGAGUAUAGUUCAGGGCAGUCAGGCUGGCCUCUCCAAUUAACUAACUCACAGUAGCCUUACCAUCCCAGGUUAGCUGGGAUUUUUCCUGAAAAUGACCCAUGGUAAAGCCAUUGACAUAAUUUAAAUUAUUACUAUGUUUUCUGACACACAGCAUGCCCUGGAAUAUGCACAUCUUGUUUGUGAAAGGCAGAAUGAAGACAUUUUUUUCCCCCAGAGCUAUGGCCUUAAAGAGCAGGGACACAGUCUAAUCUUCAGGUGACUCAGCCUCUUUUUCCUGCUUAGGUUGUGAAAUAGGAGGGAAGAGAUUAGGAGCAGGUAGCAGAGAGCAAAAUUGCCCUCAUAAAGGUUAGUAAGGUUAGUGGAACAUCAAAAGCAUGAUGUUCCACUAAUCAAAACGAUCAGAACCAUUAAAUCAACAAUCAGGGAAAUGUUGGUAAAGCAAACCAGCUCAAUCAGAUUAGACUCAGCAUUUGUGUAUUCAAGAAUUAAGAAGGUCCUCCAAGAUGGAGAAGAGAUGGUAACUUGUAUGUAAACUCAGGGGGGAAACAAACAAAUACACAAACAGUAAGAUAAAGGAAAGGGGUUAGGAAAAAAAUCAUAUACACACCAGUUCUUUUGACUCUGGUAGACUUAAUGCUCCCACGUGAAUGAUCACAUGUUCCAACCUGUACAAAAGAAAAAACAAAGAAUCAUGGGAAUUUAGCAUUGGUGAAGGGUACCAGCGAAUUUGGCUCCCCCACACCCCUCCAGCUCGGUGACUGGUGCCUUCUGGGUCUGGUGGGGGCACCUGGGGUCCCCCUGCAGCCGAUCGCUGAACCAAAGUGGCAUGGGGGGCCCCCCUGCGUGCUCCCCAGCGGGACCGGAAUUAGUUCUGGAAGUGGACCAGAAGUAGUUCUCGUCCACUCUUGGGUUCGCCAGCAAGCAUGUGGAGGGCCGCCCCGCAUUCCCGUGGGACACUCCAUGCACCCCAGCACUGCAGCAUGCACAUACCGCACCUCCUACCUCAAGGUAUAUAAAAACUUUUAAAGCUGUGUCUGUGUCCAGAUCGCUGAUUCUCUGAAUCAGCACUGAAUCUUCAGAUUCGGAUUCUGCCAAAUUCAAUUAGGGCAGUGAUCCAAAUCAACGAAUUGAAUCACUGCCCCUAAUUCAGGCCGAAUUUGAAUCCAAAUCAAAUAGGGCCCGUUUCGCACACCCCUACUGUACAUCUCUGUGAAGUGCUAUCAUUCCACUUCCUGGUGCUUGACACCACUUUACACAGAUAAAAAUGAAUGUGCAGAAUAUCUAUCGUGUUCAGCAAAUUUGGAAAGCUAAUCUUAAAGCGGGAUAAAGAAACACACAUUAUUUUUUCAAGGGAAAUGUCAUAUAUUUUUAACUAGAAACUAAACCCAGACUUCUCUUGGGAACAUACAAAUCACACACACUCUCCUCAUCCUACCUUCUGAAAUAUUUUUGUCUUCUCAUUUCUGCCCCACUUCCCAAAGAAUAAUCUCUAAAAUUUAAAGCCAAAUAAAAACUUUCUGGCAAAA
Long non-coding RNA from Alligator mississippiensis (American alligator), 2978 nucleotides. RefSeq lists it as uncharacterized. NCBI's taxonomy places the organism in Eukaryota, Metazoa, Chordata, Crocodylia, Alligatoridae. The record is from RefSeq and is a predicted model, not a curated record. The transcript has 2 exons.